RNAcentral lists this ribosomal RNA (439 nucleotides) under uncultured bacterium. RNAcentral describes it as "partial 16S ribosomal RNA". It matches the Rfam family "Bacterial small subunit ribosomal RNA", at positions 339 to 795 of the family's 1533-position model. The record is from RNAcentral.
CUACGGGUCGCUGCAGUGAGGAAUAUUGCACAAUGGAGGAAACUCUGAUGCAGCAACGCCGCGUGGAGGAUGACGCAUUUCGGUGUGUAAACUCCUUUUAUAUGUCAAGAACAUGACGGUAGCAUAUGAAUAAGCACCGGCUAACUCCGUGCCAGCAGCCGCGGUAAUACGGAGGGUGCAAGCGUUACUCGGAAUCACUGGGCGUAAAGGACGCGUAGGCGGGAUAUCAAGUCAGGUGUGAAAUCCUACAGCUUAACUGUAGAACUGCACUUGAAACUGGUAACCUAGAGUAUGGGAGGGGGAGAUGGAAUUAGUGGUGUAGGGGUAAAAUCCGUAGAUAUCACUAGGAAUACCUAAAGCGAAGGCGAUCUCCUGGAACAUAACUGACGCUAAGGCGUGAAAGCGUGGGGAGCAAACAGGAUUAGAUACCCUUGUAGUC